RNAcentral lists this ribosomal RNA (517 nucleotides) under uncultured bacterium. RNAcentral's name for it is "bacterial SSU rRNA". It matches the Rfam family "Bacterial small subunit ribosomal RNA", at positions 20 to 518 of the family's 1533-position model. The record is from RNAcentral.
UGGCUCAGGAUGAACGCUGGCGGCGUGCUUAACACAUGCAAGUCGAACGAAGCACCUCUAAUCGAAGAUUGAGAAAGCUUGCUUUGAUUGAUUCACCUUGAGGUGACUGAGUGGCGGACGGGUGAGUAACGCGUGGGUAACCUACCCUAUACAGGGGGAUAACAGUUGGAAACGACUGCUAAUACCGCAUAAGCGCACAGGACCGCAUGGUCUAGUGUGAAAAAACUCCGGUGGUAUAGGAUGGACCCGCGUCUGAUUAGCUAGUUGGUGAGGUAACGGCUCACCAAGGCGACGAUCAGUAGCCGACCUGAGAGGGUGACCGGCCACAUUGGGACUGAGACACGGCCCAAACUCCUACGGGAGGCAGCAGUGGGGAAUAUUGCACAAUGGGCGAAAGCCUGAUGCAGCGACGCCGCGUGAACGAAGAAGUAUUUCGGUAUGUAAAGUUCUAUCAGCAGGGAAGAAAAAUGACGGUACCUGACUAAGAAGCUCCGACUAAAUACGUGCCAGCAGCCGC